RNAcentral lists this ribosomal RNA (468 nucleotides) under uncultured bacterium. RNAcentral describes it as "bacterial SSU rRNA". It matches the Rfam family "Bacterial small subunit ribosomal RNA", at positions 917 to 1382 of the family's 1533-position model. The record is from RNAcentral.
GGGCCCGCACAAGCGGUGGAGCAUGUGGUUUAAUUCGACGCAACGCGAAGAACCUUACCAGGGCUUGACAUCCUCUGAUGUCCAUAGAGAUAUGGAGUUCGAUCUUCGGAUUGACAGAGAGACAGGUGGUGCAUGGUUGUCGUCAGCUCGUGUCGUGAGAUGUUGGGUUAAGUCCCGCAACGAGCGCAACCCUUAUUCUUAGUUGCCAGCAUUAAGUUGGGCACUCUAAGGAGACUGCCGGUGACAAACCGGAGGAAGGUGGGGAUGACGUCAAAUCAUCAUGCCCUUUAUGUCCUGGGCUACACACGUGCUACAAUGGCCUGUACAGAGGGUAGCGAAGCUGUGAAGUGGAGCCAAUCCCAAAAAGCAGGUCUCAGUUCGGAUUGUAGGCUGCAACUCGCCUACAUGAAGUCGGAAUCGCUAGUAAUCGCGAAUCAGCAUGUCGCGGUGAAUACGUUCCCGGGCCUU